Molecule: ribosomal RNA, 305 nt
Filed under: uncultured bacterium
Lineage: Bacteria
Description: bacterial SSU rRNA
Rfam family: Bacterial small subunit ribosomal RNA
Source: RNAcentral
UUUACCUACGGGAGGCAGCAGUGAGGAAUAUUGGUCAAUGGACGGAAGUCUGAACCAGCCAUGCCGCGUGCAGGAAGACGGCUCUAUGAGUUGUAAACUGCUUUUGUACAAGGGUAAACCUGAAUACGUGUAUUCAGCUGAAAGUACUGUACGAAUAAGGAUCGGCUAACUCCGUGCCAGCAGCCGCGGUAAUACGGAGGAUCCAAGCGUUAUCCGGAUUUAUUGGGUUUAAAGGGUGCGUAGGCGGUUUUAUAAGUUAGAGGUGAAAUCUCGGGGCUCAACUCCGAAAUUGCCUCUAAUACUGU